This is a non-coding RNA of Ictidomys tridecemlineatus (thirteen-lined ground squirrel), 72 nucleotides long. NCBI's taxonomy places the organism in Eukaryota, Metazoa, Chordata, Mammalia, Rodentia, Sciuridae. The record is from Rfam.
GGGGUUGUGGCUCAGUGGUAGAGUGCUUGCCUAGUAUGUGUGAGGCACUAGGUUCGAUUCUUGGCACUGCCU